This 278-nucleotide ribosomal RNA is filed under the name uncultured bacterium. RNAcentral's name for it is "partial 16S ribosomal RNA". It matches the Rfam family "Bacterial small subunit ribosomal RNA", at positions 506 to 784 of the family's 1533-position model. The record is from RNAcentral.
UGCCAGCAGCCGCGGUAAAACGUAGGACGCAAGCGUUAUCCGGAGUUACUGGGCGUAAAGAGCGUGUAGGCGGUGACGUAAGUUACCUAUGAAAGCUCCCGGCUAAACUGGAGAGGAUAGGUGAUACUGCGUGACUAGAGAGUGAAAGAGGACAGUGGAAUUCCGGGUGUAGUGGUGAAAUGCGUAGAUAUCCGGAGGAACACCGGUGGCGAAGGCGACUGUCUGGUUCACAACUGACGCUAAGACGCGAAAGCAUGGGUAGCGAACGGGAUUAGAUA